Molecule: long non-coding RNA, 13028 nt
Filed under: Theobroma cacao (cacao)
Lineage: Eukaryota; Viridiplantae; Streptophyta; Magnoliopsida; Malvales; Malvaceae
Description: long non-coding RNA (TCAC_LNC002391)
Source: RNAcentral
AGAACAAAGGAAGAAAAGAAAGAACAAGAACCCUAGAGUGAAAAUUCAAGAGAAAAUUAGUGGAUUUCAAGUAAUCAAGCAAUCAAAGGUAAAAUUCCUUGAUUUUGACUUGUGAUCUACCUUUCCCAUGCAUUCUUUUUCAUUUUCCAUGGUUGAGAAUCAAGUUUUCAUGAGGAUACCCUUGCUGGCCGAACAUGGGGGGGAGGAGUUUUGAAGCUUGAUUUGGUUAGAUUUUAAUGUAUUUUAGUGUUUUUAGUUAGUUAGUGAUGUGUAGCAUGAAAAGCCAACAAGAAAAAUUCACUUUCUCCCAUCACCCAUCAUUGGCCGAAUUUUUCAUGUAGAGUGUGGAUGGUGGAUUUGAUUUUAUUUCAAGUGAAUUGGUUAGGAAAUGAUGAAUUAUGGUGAGAAAAUCAAGUAGGAAAAAAAUCAUAGCAUUGAUGCACCCACCAUGUUCGAAAUUCCCAAGAGAAAAUAUGAAGAUGAUUUUGCUAAAAUUUAUGCUAUUUGACUUGUGUUUAAUUGUUUGGAGAAUUAGAAGAAAAAUGAAGUUAAUUGGAGUUAAAUUGGACAUAUUGGCCAAUUAAUCGAGUGAUAAAUCGAAUUAGGCCAAUACCGUUUUAAUUAGGUACACAAUUGAAUUUGUGUAGAACACCGUGUUUAGAUGAUAAUCCGAACAAUUUGCAUUCCAUUUCAUGCAUCCAUAUAGUUUUAUAACAGUUUAGCACCAAUGUGAUAAAUUGCUUGAUUGUGCAUUAUGUUUAGGUGGUGAAUCCUCCGAUAAGGGCAAAGAAAUUGUACCCAAGGAUCGAUAGUCGGAGUACUCUAAAAAUUCGACUUCCGAAAUAGUGAGUAACCUUAUCAUCAUCUUGAUUAUCUUAAGUGAAUUUUUAUUCGAUUUUGUGAAUUUUAUGGAAAAUGAGUUUAAAUGGUAAAUUUUUAGGUUUUGUAAACAAAAUGUGUUUAAAUGAAAUGAUUUUAUAAAUUGUCUUGAAAUUGAAUGAUGGCUUUGAAAAUAGAGUAAUUGGAGACCAAUUGAUGUGUUGUAAAUUUAUGGUUCUAAUUAAUUGGCUUAUGGCAAUUUGGCAUGAGUGGCUGGAUUGGUAAUUGUGCUAAACAUAUAUGAACUGUUGUUUUGCACUCGCAUACUACAUUAUUAGCUGGUUUCAAAUUUUUGGGGGAAGAAUGAUCAAAAUACCCCCGAGAGAUGAAAAUUAUUUUUUUAUUGUUUUGGUUUGGAAAUAGCUUAUAAUCUUUUAAAAUAUGAUGUUAGCAACUGUUGCUCGCAAGGGAGGUGAGAAAACUGAUAUUAAAGCCUUGCGAGGUCUCAGUUGGCAUUUCGAGUAUUGAAUGUCAUCGGGACAUCGCGACGGUUGUCACGGGCUUGAGGAGAGUACUGGGUCGUGACAGUCUGCCUCAUAUAUAGAAUUCCAAAUUCCUUUCUUCUACACUAGAGAGGUGAUGAUAUUUCCAUAAGGCAAGUUGAUCUUCUCCAAUCUGCAUGCACCCCUCAUUCUUUCAAUCAUGAACCUUCCCAGAUUAAGUGUAACACCACUAAAGGCAUGUUCCAUUAGCCAUAAAACUUGGAGGCUAAUGUAGCUUAAGCUUCCACUCCUCCCAUGAAGAUUAGCGGCAACAAAGUAAUGCAGAAUCCUUAUUUGAGGACUUGUGAUAAGCCCUGCAUUGCUCUUGGAGGAAUACUUUUCUUUCUUCCCUGUGAUCACUUCCCACGGGGAUGAGGGGUCAUACUUCUCAAGGUAUUGAAAUUCUCCCUCAUUACACUCUAUCUUAAGAAGUUCCCUUAAGUCUAUAGUAGUGACAGUAAAUUCCUUCCCAUUCAAAAACACAUUCAGACCCUCAUCAGAAUAAUCAUCUAGUUUCUCCAGUUCAUCCUUGUCAACAACAAUACUCGAAUAAAAUUCCUUAGCUAAGCUAGCACUAUAUGAUCGAUUUUUAAAUGUGCUGAACUCUUUCAAUUUUAGUUCUUCAAAAUAAUCUGAUAGACUUGUCAAAAUUUUAGGCAUUUCACUAAAGCUUUCCCAAUCAAUAUAUUUCCACAAGUGAUGGGUGCAUUCUCUAUUUUCCUAAAUCUCUCUUCAUGUGCUUUAUUUAUGAAUUUAGAAGAUGAAGAAGUACCUUUCUUGUGCAAUUUGCCCUUUUCUUCCUUCUUUUCAGAUUUUUGGCUCUUCGAUUUUCCAGAUUCUUUACUUACAGAUCCCGACUCAAUCAUUUUCUUUUUCUUCAGUAUUUCAACUUGCAGAUUUUCUUCCAUCAGCCGUUUGCCUUGCUUCUUUUCCAUAAGUUUUUGAGAUUUUCCUAUCUUCACCAUUUGGUUUGGAUGAUUUUGGAUUCAGAGUUUCGAAUGGUUGAGAGGUGAGGGUUUUAGUUUCAGGCUUCGAUUUUAGCAGAGAGAGAGAGUGUAAAGAAAAUGGGUUGAGAGCAAUUUAAUUCCAAAUGAAAAACUAUCUGACUCCCCCUAUUUAAGCGCAGUUUGUAACUCCCCUUUCAAAAUUCAAAUAUUACCUCCUAAUUUUUUUUUUGUUUGGGUAGUUUUUCUACUCUAUUUUAUUUCCUGGUACGCAAUUUUUUCUUAUUAUUUUAUUCCUUCUGCCUUUAACUUAAUUGAGUCUUAUUAUUUAAUGAAACGGAAUGUUCUUAGUUGACUAAGAUUUUCUGUAGUCGACUAAGUGCCUUCUGUUUUAUGUGAAUGAGUCAAAAAUUUUACCUACAACUCCUGCAUAUUAAUCAUUCCUAAAUUUCUUCUAAUCUCACAAAGUCUAUCUUCAUUUAGAGGUUUGGUAAAGAUGUCAACAAAUUGAUGUAAAGUAUUUACAAACUCAAUUUUAACAUCUCCCUCCACUACAUGGUCUCUAACAAAAUGGUGCCUAAUCUCAAUGUGUUUAGUUCUAGAAUGUUGCACAGGAUUUUUUGAUAUAUUGACUGCACUUAUUAUCACAAUAUAUUGGUAUAUUAUGCACUGUUAUUCCAUAGUCCUUUAAUUAUUAUUUAAUCCACAAAAUUUGUGCAGAGCAGCUGCUUAGAGAAAUAUAUUCUGCUUUAGCUGUGAUAAAGCUACUGAAUUUUGUUUCUUACUUGACCAAGAUAUUAGCAUACUUCCUAGAAAUUGGCAUGUUCCACUAGUGCUUUUUCUAUUGGUUUUGCUUCCUGUAAAGUCUGCAUCCGAAUAGCCUACAAGAUUCAAUAAUGAUUCUCUAGAGUACCAUAUUCCUAAGGUUUGUGUUUCUAAAAGGUAUCUAAAAAUUCUCUUAACAGCAGUUAAGUGUGAUUCUUUAGGCUGUGACUAAAAUCUAGCACACAAACACACACUAAACUGAAUAUCUAGUCUACUUGUUGUUAAGUAAAGUAAUGAUCCAAUCAUAGCUCUAUAGAGCUUUUGAUCAACAUUCCUUCAUUUUUCAUCUAAAUCAAGUCUAGUGGGUGGACUCAUUGGUGUAUAAAUUGAUUUUAGCUUUAGCAUAUCAAACUUUUUGAGCAUGUCUUGAGUGUAUCUUUCUUGGUUGAUGAAGAUUCUUUUAUUACUUUGUUUGAUUUGAAGGACAAGAAAGUACUUUAGCUCACCCAUCAUGCUCAUCUCAAAUUCACCCUGCAUUUCUUUAGCAAAGUUCUUGCAUAAAGCCUCAUUAGUUGCACCAAAUACAAUGUCAUCCACAUAAAUUUGAACAAUAAUUAAAUCCUUUAAGUAUCUUUUAAUAAACAAUGUAGUAUCAAUGCACCCCUAACAUAUCAUUUUUCAACCAGAAAUUUUGAAAGCCUCUCAUACCCAGCUCUAGGAGCUUGUUUCAAUCCACACAACGCUUUAUGAAGUUUGAAAACAUGAUAUGGUUUUUCAAAGUCUUCAAAUCCUGGUGGUUGUUCAACAUACACUUCCUCUUGAAUGAAUCCAUUUAAAAAUGCACUCUUUACAUCCAUUUGGUACAAUUUAAAAUUCAUAAAGCAUGCAAAAGCAAGCAACAACCUUAUGGCUUCAAUCCUAGCAACCGGUGUAAAGGUUUCAUCAUAGUCAAUUCCUUCCUCUUGGUUGUAUCCUUGGGCUACUAACCUAGCUUUAUUUCGAACUACAUUUCCUUGCUUAUCUACCUUAUUUCUAAACACCCAUUUUGUUCUAACAAUAGGGUGGUUUAAAGGCCUAGAGACUAAUGACCAUACAUGGUUUCUUUUAAAUUAAUCAAGUUCCUCUUGCAUGGCCAAUAUCUAACUUUCCUCUUUUUCUGCUUCCUCAGAUGUCUUAGGCUCAAUUUGAGAUAUGAAAGCUAAAAACUCAUAAGUCUCUCUUGUUGCUCUCUUAGUCUUAACUCCUUGUGAAAUGUUACCUAUGCUUUGUUCUUGUGGAUGAUCUUUUGCAUAUCCCCAAAUCCUUGGUAGAUCAUUAUGCUGAAUUUAUGUUCUUUGCAAAUUUUCUAGAGGUGGAGUUUCAUUUUCUCUUCUAGGUGUGUUUUCUUCAUUAUUCUUAUUGUUAUCUAAGCUCAUUUCUUCCAUUUGCUUUUCUAGGAUUUCUACAUCAUCAUCAUCAGUAUGAAUUUCCUUUUGUAAGGCAUUGGACUCAUCAAAAACUACAUGGAUUGAUUCUUCAACAGUUAAAGUUCUUUUGUUGAAAACUCUAAAAGCCUUUGAGUUUAAUGCAUAUCCUAAAAAUAUUACCUCAUCACUCUUUGCAUCAAACUAACCUAAGGAUUGUUUUCCAUUGUUUAACACAAAACAGUUACAACCAAAACUCUUAAGGUGUGAAAUAUUAGGUUUCCUACCUUUGUAAAGUUCAUAUAGAGUCUUUGAUAUCAUGGCUUUAAUUGAGACUCUAUUAAGUAUAUAUGUUGCUGUGUUCACUGCCUCAGCCCAAAAAUAUUUUGGUAGUUUAUUCUCACAUAGCAUAGUUCUAGCCAUUUCUUUUAAGGUUCGAUUUUUCCUCUUUGCAACUCCAUUUUGCUAGGGUGUUCUAGGUGCAGAAAAAUUAUGAUCCAACCCCUUUUCAUUGUAAAAUUUCUCAAAUUCAUCACUUUCAAAUUCUCCUCCAUGAUCACUCUUCAUACUAACUAUGGCUAGUCCUUUUUCAUUCUCAACUUUCCUAUAAUGACUUAUAAAUGCUGGUAGAGCAUCACUCUAAUGAGCAAGAAAAUAAACCCAAGUGUACCUUGAGUAGUCAUCAACUAUUACAAAGCCAUAAGAUUUUCCUCCUAGACUAGUUAUACUUAUUAGAUCAAAUAGAUCAAUGUGCAGCAAUUUAAGAGGUCUAGUUGUUGACACAAUCUUCUUAGUCUUAAAGGAUGUUCUAACUUAUUUUCCUAGUUGGCAAGCAUCACAAAUUUUAUCAUUUUUAAAUUUUAUAUCCGGCAGUCCAACAACUAGAUUUUUCUUGAUUAAUUUUGACAUAAUAUGCAUGCUUCCAUGUCCUAUUUUCCUAUGCCAUAGCCAGCUAUCAUUUUCAGUAUUUCUCCACUAAACACAUUUCACAAUUCAUUUCAAGAUCUUCAAGAAAUGCAACAUACAUAUUUUUUAAUCUUUUUCCUAUAAAUGAGACUUUAUUUGUGCUUAUAUCUAUCACUUCACACUUAUUUGAAUCAAAGCAUACUUUAGAUCCUUUAUCACACAAUUGACUAAUGCUCAAUAAAUUAUGUUUUAAGCCUUUAACCAAUAACACAUGACUGAUUUGAGUUUGAGAGUUCUUACGAACCGUUCCUAUACCAUGGAUUCUACCUUUUGAAUUAUCACCAAAGGAUACGGUUCCUCCAUUUCUUUUUGUCUAGCUUAGCAAAUAGCAUUUUAUCUCUUGUCAUGUGUCUUGAGCAGCCAUUGUGCAUAUACCAAGGCUGCUUCUUCUUGAGUUGAGUUCUUGAACAUGUCUCCUUUAAGUGCUACUCAACCUACAAAAUAGAAUUUCGGUUUUUCUUUAUAAGUACCCAUACUUUGAUGGGUCUUUGAUUGUUAGCAGCAACAUAGGAUCCUUUUGGAACCCAUAUUUUCCUUAUUUUCUGCACAUUUAUGUUUUUAUUAAAAUCAUAAGAUAAAUGGCCAAUUUUAUUGCAAAUAUAACACCUAGAAGAUGCAUUAGCAGAAUUUUUCUUGUAGUAUGCAUUUCUUUUUGACGUUUCAUUUUUCAAACUUAUAAGGGCUUUGUUUUCAUCAAGUGUUUUUUGCAAAGCUUUAAACUUAUUGUCCAGCUUAAAUUUUUAAACUUCAAAAUUUGUUUUUGAGUGUUCUAACUCAACUUGCAGAAAAUUUCUUUGCUCAAAAAUAGAAUUGAACUCUUAUCUUAUCUUUUCUAAAUCAUUUUCAAAGGAUGCAAUCUUUUUCUUUAAAAUCUUGUAUUUUGCAAAGAGUUUUUCAAAUUCAUCAAAAAGGCACUCAUACUCAUCUUGUAAAUCAUCAAUAGAAAUAUCACAGGGGGAUGAGGGUACCUCAGUUUCAUCAUCCUGUGCCAUCAAACACAGAUUUGUUCUUUCUUCACCUUUUUUUUCCUCACUUUCAGAACUUGAUGUGUCACUGUCUGACCAAGCAGCUGCCACCAUUGCCUUCUUUGAUUUCUUGUUUUUCUUUGGAGUCUCAUUUUUUAGCAAUGGGCAUUCGGACUUGAAAUGUCCAACCUUCUUGCGUUCGAAGCAGGUUAGCUCAUCCUUUUUGUUGGAGUCAUCUCUGUUUCUAGUUCUCCAUGAAGAACCUUAAUCUUUUUUAAACCCUCUUCUAGCUAAUCUCUGAUUUUUUUUGCCCAUAAGCUUUCUGAAUUUCCUUGCAACCAGUGCUAACUCUUCAUCAUCAUCACAGGAUAGCUCUUCCAGCUCUUUUUCAUGAAUGAUGGCUUUAAGUGCAAUGCUCUUUUUCUUUUCUUUUGCUUCCCUUCUAUCUUCUUCUUCUUCUUCCUUGAGUUCUAACUCAUGAGUGAGGAGAGAACCACAAAUCUCAUAUAGAGUAAUAACAUUUAGGUCCUUGGCUUCCCGGAUUGCAGUCACUUUAGGCUUCCAAUUUUUUGGUAGGCUUAUAAGAAAUCUUUUAACAAUCUCAUGCUUGGGUAUUGGUUUGCCUAAUUGACUUAAUUUGUUUGUGAAUCUAUCCAACAUGCUGGUGAUAUCUUCACUAGGCUCCAUCUUAAACAUUUCACAAUUAUGGGUCAAGAGGGCUAUCUUGGACUCCUUGACUUGAGAAGUCCCUUCACGGAUAAUUCUAAGUUUAUCCCACACUUGUUUAGCUAUUGUACAGCUUGAUACUUUGUUGAAUUCGGUAGGAGUCAAGGCACAAUGCAAUGUAUUAAUAGCCUUAAAAUUUAUUUGGACUUUCUUAGUUUCAGCCUCGGUCCAUUCAGAUAUUGGCUUAGGCAUCAUCUCAUUAGUUACUACAUUUAAGGUUGAGGGAAUAAAGGGUCUAUCAGUUAUGACGUCCCACAUUUCAUAAUCAAUUGAUCUAAUGUAUAUUGACAUCCUAAUGCUCCAAUAAGGACAGUUAGAGCCAUCAUACAGAGGUGGUAUGUUUAUUGAUUGUCUCUCAGCAACUAUGAAAUUUUGGAGAGCCAUUUAGAUCCUCCUAAAGGGUGUUAGACCUUAAGAACAAGGAACUUGCUUUGAUACAAUUUGUUGGUCCCAAGUAAAUGUGCUAGAGAAGGGGUGAAUACCACAAUUUGGCUCUUUCAAAAAUUGUCUCUAAGUGUAGACAAAUGCAAGACAAAAGAAAGACUGAAAAUUAAACAAAAAAAGAGUAAAUAAGACAGCAGAAUUUAGAGUGGUUCGGUCCAAGACCUACAUCCACUACCUUGAUUAUCCAACCAAGGAUUUUCCAACCAAUCCACUAAGAACCGGUGAAACUAACAAGCUUUCACCAAGCUUUACAAUGGCUUUUACUAGGCUUAGCUAAAACCUUUCACAAUAGUUUUUCCCAGGCUCAGCUAUAACCCAACAUCGAACUUUUCAAGGCUAAGUUAGAACAUUUAUCUAAACAAGAAAUCCUAGCUUGGUUGAACCCCUUAGAGUGACCCUUUCACUCUAAGAACAUAAAGAAAAAUGAAAUAAAAGUGUACCUAUGAUCACAAAGUUGAUCUAAGUGGUACAAGUUGAAGUGCAAAACACAACUACAAAGAUGGGCGUUGAGUGCAGUAAAGUGCAGAGAAAUUUUUUCUAGUUUUUGAACUCUUUUUGCUUGGAAGCCUUUUCUCUUUUAUUUCUAGCCGUUAGAACCCUUUUUUAUACUUUGAGAAACAACUCUGAUGGCAGUUUGAUAGUUUUCUAACCGUUGGAAACAGUUGAAAGUUGAAUCUAGUUGUUAAUCUGUCUUUUAGUGCAGAGUUUUAACUUGCAGGCAGAAUGCUCUUCGUCGACUAAGUCGUCUUUGUCUUCUGUUCCCAGUUUCUGAUAGUUCUAGUAAUGUGCACUUAGUCAACUAACUCAUUCCUUGGUUGACUAAGUUGGUUCUGUUUCUCAAUACUCUUCAGCCCGCCAACUUUUAAUUUAAAUCUUAGCUGACUAACUUUUCAUUAAUCGACUAAGGGGCUUUAAUCAUGUUGAUCAAUUGUGACUUCCUUAUUCCUAUGCUCUUUGAUAUAUGCGCUUAAAUGAUUGAUUACAUAUUUGCAUAUAAUUUUUGUCCUACACACUUAAGUAGAAAUAUUAGACACAAAUGAAUGGGAAUGUUUUAUUAUCAUAAAAAACUAAUGAAGCCAAUAGACAUUAAUAAAUCUCAUAAGUUUUUCUUCAAACUAAUGUAAAUAGCAUUAUUUAAAACCAUUUCUUACAAGUAUAAUAGAAGCCAAAGUUUGCAUAAACAUUUAAGAUGGCAAUGAGAGUUAUAAACAUUUGAAAACAUUGUAAAAACGGAGUGAAAACAUUAUUCUGUAACUGAAGUAUCGAUACAUCCUUGUGAAGUAUUGAUACUUUUUACACAGAAUGCUUUCUGGACUAUAUGUAUUGAUGCAUUUGGAAAAGUAUCACUACUUUCUACACAAAAUACUUCGUGGGACAUUCUAUGUUCUAUGUAUCAAUACUUACUCUUCAAGUAUUAGUACUUCAUUCAUAAAACUUAGUCUACUAUAACAUUUUUUGCAUUUUCUAACUCUAUAAGUCAUCCUAACCAUAGGAACAAUCAUAUAAACUAUGAUUUAAUUGACUAAGCUACACUCCAUCAAGUUCUCAACUAUACCAUGUCAUUUCCUCAUUUAUAACUUGUAUAGAAUCUUCUUACAUUCUAUUUUCUAUAAUCAUUCUAAUAAUCAACUAGAAUUCAACUAUCUGUGAGUGGUAGCCUGCCCUAAGUCAAGGUGGAAAUGGUUUAAUCCCCACUAUUAGAUUCCUUUGGAGUGGUAAUCAGUCCCGACUCCCAAUGACUAGGGUUUAAUCCCCACUAACUUAGAUUACUAAGUGCAUUUAGGAGUGGCAUCUCACGUAGUUUGCCCCAACUCAAGGCAGAUAGUGGUAAAAAUCCCCAUUAUCUUGGAUUACUCCUAAACAUAUAGGAUCUAUCAUAUCCAUAACUUAUAACAUCAUCAUUUCAUAGUCAUACUUCUUUGUGGCUCAUGCGUCAUGCUAAUAAGGUAUGUGGAACUAUAUUAGAUACAAAUCAAAAUUAACGUACAUAUAUUUAUAUACACAUCUCAUAAAUGUUUCAUAGCCUCAAGGGUGGCAAUGUCUACACCCACCUAAACAUGUCAUCUAGCAUACAUGCAUUUCAUAUUCAUCAUAUCAACUUGAACUCAUUUUGAAGGACAAUCAAAUAAAGGGCUUGUCCCCCCUUAUUGAAAGCUAAUACACAGUAGAAUAUUUACAUAUAUAGUAGAUUCAAAAACAUUUUUGAAAUUGUUUGGGUUUAAAACAUUUGAGUAGUCAUUAUAAAGGUAAUCUUUAAUCAUGCAUGAUAAAGACUUCAAUAAAUAAUGUUUUACUUUACAUAUAUAAUAUACUUAAAAAAGGUGGAUCCACAUACCUUUAGAAGACUCGACCUUUACCAAUGAGCAAGACUUUACUUCAGUGAAUUCCUUAGAGUUUUGACAACCCUAAGUGUUCAACAAUCAUUGUAAGCAUUACUUAAACUAGAAUCUUGUGGUAAUCAUCAAUACGAAUUUCGAAACUUGUCAAGUUCAAGCAGUACUAAAUUUCUAGCUUUAAAUAUACUAUUUUUCAUUUAUCUAAUGGUAAAUAUAGUUAAAUCUUUAAGUAUUCCUUACCUUGGUGAGCUACAAAGGAUAGAAGUCUCUAGAAACCUUAGCUUCUUUGAAUAACCACGAAAUCUAUUGGAUUACUUAAAAUCAGUAAUGGAAAUCUAAGUUUUGAAAGAUUAAAAGUCAGAAACUUUAACUUUGAUAGUUAGAAAAACACAAACCAAACUUUAAAUCUUCGAAAAUGAGGUUUUUUAUCGAAAAAAGAGUUUGAAAAUGCUAAAAUUUGAGAGCAAAUGUUGAAAAAGUGGUUGGAGUUUGAAAGAAUGAAAAAAAAACCUAAAAUGGAAUUUUUUAGGUGGAAAAUACAUUUUUACCCUUUUUUAUAUUUUAGAAAUUGACGACAAGUAUCAAUACAUUUGGGAAAAUAUUGAUACUUGAGUUUCUGGGUUUAAUGUAUCAAUACAUGUUCAUUAUGUAUCAAUACUUGUUCAUCUAAAUUCUUUUUGAAAGCUUUUUAGGUAGAAUGUAUCGAUACUUUUGCUCUAGAAUGUAAAUUUUUGCUUUCAAAACACUUCUUUAUGGCCUAUUUACAACUCUUAAGUACUUUUUCUCUUAAAAUUUGAGAUUUAGGCUUAAAACAUGUUUAAAUUUGCUCACCCAAUAAGAUUUACUUAACUAAUCUAGACCCUAGGUUGAGUGGUUUCACAUUCUCUCCCCUUGGAAAAAUUUAUCCUCGAAUUUAAAUAUGUACUAACCUUCACUAAAUAAGCUUGGGAUUUUUGCUCUCAUGUUGUCCUCGACUUCCCAAGUCACUUUUUCACUCAAGUGAUUGCACCAUUGCACCUUGACCAAGGCAAUCUCUUUAAAGUGUACUUUCUUCACAUGUUUAUCCAAUAUUUCAAUUAGUUCUUCCUAGUAGCUCAAAUCAUCUCUCAUUUAUAAAGUCUCAUGCUGGAUCACAAGAGAUAGUUCAGGAUUGUACUUUUGAAGUACUGAAAUGUGCACUAUUGAGUGAAUGCUAGAAAGAUCUAGUAGAAGUGUUAGAUGAUAUGCCAUUGUCCCAACUCUCUUAAGGAUCUCAAAUGGUCGUAUAUACCUUGGGCUCAACUUGCCUUUCUUGCUAAACCUCAUAAUGCCUUUCUUUGACGAAACCCUCAAAAACACAUGAUCACCAACAUUAAGUUCCAAGUCUUUAUGUUUGUGGUUAACAUAUGACUUCUGACGACUUUGUGCUAUCAACAUCUUCUCUCUAAUCAACUGAAUCUUGUUAGUGGUCUCUUGAACCAUCUCUGGUCUAAAAAACUUCCACUUACCAACCUUAAACCAACAAAUGGGCGAUCUGCACUUUUUCCCAUAUAAAGCCUCAUAAGGUGUCAUUUGAAUGCUAGACUAAAAGUUGUUGUAGGAAAACUCUAUCAAAGGUAAGUGUCGAUCCCAAGUGACUCUAAAGUGUACGACACAAGCUCAUAACAUAUCCUCUAAUGUCUAACUAGUCCCCUUGGAUUGCCCAUUCAUUUAUUUAACAGUAUGGUGACAAUGACUCUAUGCAAUCGCACUAUCUCAUCCAUAUAUAAUCCAGCAUACUAUGCCACUCCAUAAGUAGUCCUUACUAGCAAAAAAUGAGUGGACUUAAUCAGUCUAUCAACGAUUACCCAAAUAGAAUCACACACCUUGCUAGUUCGAGGAAGCUCCAUCACAAAAUCCAUAGAAAUAUGCUUUCAUUUCCAUUCGAGAAUGGGUAAAGGCUGUCAUAAUCUAACGUGCCUUUACUAUUCUACCUCAACUUGCUAACACACUAAGUACUUAGCUACCUCAUUUGCUAUGUCGUUUUUAAACUUUCCCACCAAUGUAACUCCCUCAAAUCACGAUACAUCUUAAUGGUCCUUAGGUGAACCACAUAGGCUACCACAUACGUGUGAGACCUCAACCCCUAUAAGCUCAUAACGAGGCAUAGGCGUAAUAACCUGGCUAGGGGUAGUUUCGUCAUUUCCUCUAAAAAGCUCUCAAAAGAAGGUUUUAUGAUAUUUUAAGGUCUAAAUAGGCAUAAGACCGAAUAAAUAAUGUGUAAUGAUGAAAACACGAAGAAAACUAGAAGUUUCAAUAAUUUUUGCCAUAAGGGCAAAAUCAUCAUUUUUCACCUUGAGUCAAAAUUUUUAAGUUUCAUAAACCCGAGCGUGUCUAGACCAUUAUGGACUUGUUUUAGUAUCAAAAGAGUAAAAAGAUUGCACCAAGGAUUGAAGGAGAACAAGUUAAUGUGCUAAGGGCAUUUUUGUAAUUUCAAGUGGAAUGGAUAAGCAUGGGCUAUAAAUAUUUUCUUCCAACAACUUCUUCUUCCAUUUUCCAGCAGCUUCUUCUUCUGCUUCUUCCUUCUUCUCUUUCACGUUACUUCCAACCUCCAUGGAAGCAUGGUAUGAGAACUUCAUAACUUUCUCUCUCUAGCUCUAAAUUUCAUGCUUUUGCCCACUCUUUCAUACGGUAUUUCAUGCUUUUCCACUUGUACACCUUAAAACCAUUAAAAAAAGUCUUUGUUCAGCACUUUCUCUCACUAGUUGAAAGUUUUAGAGAGAGAAAGAGGGAGCUUCCAUAGUAGCUUGACAAUUUUUGGAAAGAAUUUCAAUUAUAAAGCUACUAAGGUGAGUAGUGAACUAUAGUUGAUUUUUAAGUGUUGAGAAUGUCUAGUAAUUAGAAUUGUGAGAGUUUAUUUGUUGGGAUUAUUAGUCAUUUUAGUGUGACUAGAGAAUUGCAAACAAUAGCCAUUUAAUGGUGGUUGGAAACUAGUUAGGAAUGACUAGUAGAACCCAAUUUAGAAAAUAGUUUUGGAGUGAUAUUAAUGUAAAUUGGAUUGGUUGUGAUGUUGUGUGUGUAUAGGUUCCAACAAGGCCUCACAUGUCCAUUUGGAGUAUCAGAUGAGGUUAGAAUCAAGCAAAAGAAAUAACAAGACCGG